CCUUAACAACGGGGUCACACUCUGCGUGACGCGGGGUUAGGUGAUGUCACCACUGUGUGAAUAUUAUAAAGUGAACUCACACAAUCCUGAAUGAUACAGAUCAAUCACUCAACGUGGCCCUUUAAUGUGAAUGACUUCUUUUUUUGUUUGUUUGUUUUCUUAUUUUUUCCGGUACUGGGAAUUGAACUCACGACCUUGCGCUUGCCAGUAAGGUGCUGUGCCGCUGAGCUAAAUCCCCAGCCCCUGUGGCCCUUUAAUGUAAUCAAAAGCUACAGUAAACAUGAGAUGUGUGAGAGAGCUGCCAGAGUGACAAAGCUUUUUUUACAAGUAGAAGAAGUACUUUCUAAAAUAACAACAAAAACACCCUGUGUUUGCCAAGGGCGACAGGGACGGUGCUGAGCUGAGUUUUCCCUGAGAAUAAUGCCGCUGCUGACAAACAAAUAAAGGUUGGUUGCUGGGGAAAGGUUGCUGGGGAAAGUCAUGUCCGAAUUGAUCCUGACAG
Molecule: long non-coding RNA, 502 nt
Filed under: Chinchilla lanigera (long-tailed chinchilla)
Lineage: Eukaryota; Metazoa; Chordata; Mammalia; Rodentia; Chinchillidae
Description: lncRNA (ENSCLAG00000025146.1)
Source: RNAcentral